GAUGAACGCUGGCGGCGUGCCUAAUACAUGCAAGUCGAGCGAACGGACGAGAAGCUUGCUUCUCUGAUGUUAGCGGCGGACGGGUGAGUAACACGUGGAUAACCUACCUAUAAGACUGGGAUAACUUCGGGAAACCGGAGCUAAUACCGGAUAAUAUUUUGAACCGCAUGGUUCAAAAGUGAAAGACGGUCUUGCUGUCACUUAUAGAUGGAUCCGCGCUGCAUUAGCUAGUUGGUAAGGUAACGGCUUACCAAGGCAACGAUGCAUAGCCGACCUGAGAGGGUGAUCGGCCACACUGGAACUGAGACACGGUCCAGACUCCUACGGGAGGCAGCAGUAGGGAAUCUUCCGCAAUGGGCGAAAGCCUGACGGAGCAACGCCGCGUGAGUGAUGAAGGUCUUCGGAUCGUAAAACUCUGUUAUUAGGGAAGAACAUAUGUGUAAGUAACUGUGCACAUCUUGACGGUACCUAAUCAGAAAGCCACGGCUAACUACGUGCCAGCAGCCGCGGUAAUACGUAGGUGGCAAGCGUUAUCCGGAAUUAUUGGGCGUAAAGCGCGCGUAGGCGGUUUUUUAAGUCUGAUGUGAAAGCCCACGGCUCAACCGUGGAGGGUCAUUGGAAACUGGAAAACUUGAGUGCAGAAGAGGAAAGUGGAAUUCCAUGUGUAGCGGUGAAAUGCGUAGAGAUAUGGAGGAACACCAGUGGCGAAGGCGACUUUCUGGUCUGUAACUGACGCUGAUGUGCGAAAGCGUGGGGAUCAAACAGGAUUAGAUACCCUGGUAGUCCACGCCGUAAACGAUGAGUGCUAAGUGUUAGGGGGUUUCCGCCCCUUAGUGCUGCAGCUAACGCAUUAAGCACUCCGCCUGGGGAGUACGACCGCAAGGUUGAAACUCAAAGGAAUUGACGGGGACCCGCACAAGCGGUGGAGCAUGUGGUUUAAUUCGAAGCAACGCGAAGAACCUUACCAAAUCUUGACAUCCUUUGACAACUCUAGAGAUAGAGCCUUCCCCUUCGGGGGGCAAAGUGACAGGUGGUGCAUGGUUGUCGUCAGCUCGUGUCGUGAGAUGUUGGGUUAAGUCCCGCAACGAGCGCAACCCUUAAGCUUAGUUGCCAUCAUUAAGUUGGGCACUCUAAGUUGACUGCCGGUGACAAACCGGAGGAAGGUGGGGAUGACGUCAAAUCAUCAUGCCCCUUAUGAUUUGGGCUACACACGUGCUACAAUGGACAAUACAAAGGGCAGCGAAACCGCGAGGUCAAGCAAAUCCCAUAAAGUUGUUCUCAGUUCGGAUUGUAGUCUGCAACUCGACUACAUGAAGCUGGAAUCGCUAGUAAUCGUAGAUCAGCAUGCUACGGUGAAUACGUUCCCGGGUCU
Molecule: ribosomal RNA, 1372 nt
Filed under: uncultured bacterium
Lineage: Bacteria
Description: bacterial SSU rRNA
Rfam family: Bacterial small subunit ribosomal RNA
Source: RNAcentral